Molecule: ribosomal RNA, 253 nt
Filed under: uncultured bacterium
Lineage: Bacteria
Description: partial 16S ribosomal RNA
Rfam family: Bacterial small subunit ribosomal RNA
Source: RNAcentral
UACGUAGGUCCCGAGCGUUGUCCGGAUUUAUUGGGUUUAAAGGGUGCGUAGGCGGUUUGAUAAGUUAGAGGUGAAAUGUCGGGGCUCAACCCCGAAACUGCCUCUAAUACUGUUGGACUAGAGAAUAGUUGCGGUAGGCGGAAUGUAUGGUGUAGCGGUGAAAUGCUUAGAGAUCAUACAGAACACCGAUUGCGAAGGCAGCUUACCAAACUAUAUCUGACGUUGAGGCACGAAAGCGUGGGUAGCAAACAGG